Molecule: long non-coding RNA, 892 nt
Filed under: Parus major (Great Tit)
Lineage: Eukaryota; Metazoa; Chordata; Aves; Passeriformes; Paridae
Description: lncRNA (ENSPMJG00000018482.1)
Source: RNAcentral
CAAGGUGAAGCACUGCAAGUUGCUAAACAAUGUCAAAGAUUAUGAAACUUAGCAAAUAUCUGCAAAGUUUUUUUAGAGCAGACUGCAUUUGACAAAAUUUCUAAGCAGUACAAAUUUAAUUACAUUUAUCUUUUUCUUUCAUGUAUUUCAAGAAGGUUUAACUUCAGAGUACAGAGUUCUGCUGCCUGAAUUUACAUUGUGCAGUGCAAAUAUAGCAAUAAAAACCGUGUUUCUUCCUCUGCAAUACUCUCAAUAUGACAGUUGUGAAAAAUAGCCUCUCUGGAGAAUUCUCAUGGGAAUCUAUCAGCCAAAGCACAAGUUUCACUUAUGUUGAGUGGAAAUGGAGGCUUCUCUAAAAGAAACUAUUGGCAGAGGCAAGUGAACCACUGAAACAAAAUACAUUGGCAAAUAAGAAAGAAAUCACAAGGCAGACAAGAGCUGCCCUGAACAAUGGUGGAGAGGAGGUUGGCACAGCCAAGUUCUCUGCAGUCACCCUGCUGCUGCAUGUGGAUCAGAUUCAGACCAGGGCAGUGGGAUGCAACAAGCUGAAUUUCUUGACUGACCUUCAGCCUUCCCCCUCCGUGGCAAUAUACAGCUUUCUGUUCUGCUAAGUGAAAGUCAGAAACAGGGGCCAACUGAAAAGUAAUUCUUUUCACUCUUUUGCAGAAACAACAAAAAGGUUGCUUCUGAAGAUGAGAAAUUCUUUUGCUCAUCUCUACUGGAGACUGAAUUGUUUAUUGUAUUGACUGCCCAUCAUUGUGGGCUGGGUUUUAACAGAUAUGACAAUUUAUCUGUAUCAAGGAUGGGGGGGGUGCUGUUGUGAUACAUUAAAUACCUUUGCAAUCUUUUUUAUUUUUUUUCUUCUUAUCUUUCUUUCUCUCUUUCUUUUUUU